UACGAAGGGUGCAAGCGUUACUCGGAAUUACUGGGCGUAAAGGGUGCGUAGGUGGUUUGUUAAGUCUGCUGUGAAAUCCCCGGGCUCAACCUGGGAAUGGCAGUGGAUACUGGCAAGCUAGAGUGCGGUAGAGGGUAGUGGAAUUCCCGGUGUAGCAGUGAAAUGCGUAGAGAUCGGGAGGAACACCCGUGGCGAAGGCGGCCAUCUGGACCAGCACUGACGCUGAGGCACGAAAGCGUGGGGAGCAAACAGG
RNAcentral lists this ribosomal RNA (253 nucleotides) under uncultured bacterium. RNAcentral describes it as "partial 16S ribosomal RNA". It matches the Rfam family "Bacterial small subunit ribosomal RNA", at positions 524 to 776 of the family's 1533-position model. The record is from RNAcentral.